UAGGGAAUCUUCGGCAAUGGACGAAAGUCUGACCGAGCAACGCCGCGUGAGUGAAGAAGGUUUUCGGAUCGUAAAACUCUGUUGUUAGAGAAGAACAAGGACGUUAGUAACUGAACGUCCCCUGACGGUAUCUAACCAGAAAGCCACGGCUAACUACGUGCCAGCAGCCGCGGUAAUACGUAGGUGGCAAGCGUUGUCCGGAUUUAUUGGGCGUAAAGCGAGCGCAGGCGGUUUCUUAAGUCUGAUGUGAAAGCCCCCGGCUCAACCGGGGAGGGUCAUUGGAAACUGGGAGACUUGAGUGCAGAAGAGGAGAGUGGAAUUCCAUAUGUAGCGGUGAAAUGCGUAGAUAUAUGGAGGAACACCAGUGGCGAAGGCGGCUCUCUGGUCUGUAACUGACGCUGAGGCUCGAAAGAGUGGGGAGCAAACAGG
RNAcentral lists this ribosomal RNA (429 nucleotides) under Chloroflexota bacterium. Its description in RNAcentral is "Chloroflexi bacterium partial 16S ribosomal RNA". It matches the Rfam family "Bacterial small subunit ribosomal RNA", at positions 355 to 776 of the family's 1533-position model. Lineage: Bacteria; Bacillati; Chloroflexota. The record is from RNAcentral.